Molecule: long non-coding RNA, 1311 nt
Organism: Pocillopora damicornis (cauliflower coral)
Lineage: Eukaryota; Metazoa; Cnidaria; Anthozoa; Scleractinia; Pocilloporidae
Source: RefSeq, a predicted model, not a curated record
UGAGUGGGUCUGGGAAGAGGAAGAGCUUCUUAAUAACACAUUGAGUGCCAACAUUUUCUUCUGAACUUUUCAUUAGCUUUAAUGAAUACUGAAUAGACAGCAACUUUGGUCGAGAACACCUCACCAGAUCACAAGUGGAUACACAGCUUUACAGACUAAUUUAUUUUUCUAGCCUAACUAUUGGGCAAUUAUUAAUAAGUAACAAUACGCAUAGCCUUAUCAAAGCAUCAUAAUUCCCUGUCUUUAUUCUGAGGAUUUGUUGAGAGGGUUGGGCAUAAGGAGGGAAUUUUAAAGAGAGUACUAUUAUUUUGAGAUUAGUUCAAGGACUUUCUUAAAUAAUUCAGCUAAUGGGAUUCCCCUUGCUCAAUUUCUUAGCAGCAGUUUGUAAGCUGCUUUGGAGGUUUAAGCUGCUUUUAAAGCUAAUCCCACCCUCCCUUCCCCCCUCCCCCCCCCAUGGUCUUGGCUUAGGAACUGACAAUAAGCCAUUCUACAGUUGUGUCCUAAGUUGUCAAGCCUUUGAUUUGGAGUGAGGCUGAAGGUGACCUUGUUGUGAUGGAGACCAGUAUCUAGUUAGCAUGAUAACAAACUUAUUUGCAUUUGAAAGGCAACAAGGUUUUUUAUCAUAACAAGGUCAACCUUAGCCUCACUCCUGUUCAAAGGCUUGACAACCAAGCACACAACAGCAAAAUGAUCUAAUCAAGUAACCAUUCACUGGCCAGUACCAGUCAAUCCCACUGUUUAUACCACCACUGCCUGCUUUGAAGGAGGGGAGGGAAGGGAAAGGAAAGAGUCUCUUAUGGCAAACAUAAGAACAUUGGUAGCAUUUUCAUAGAUUUUACUCUAGACAGAAUCAAAUGAUUCUGUGUCAUAACACAUUUUAUUAAUCUAGUCAUGUACUUUAUAAAGAUGGUAACAACAUCUUUAUUUUCACUGAAAACUAGCAUGAAUAUCAUAUACAUUUAUGUGCUUUACUGCUGCUGUUGUAUGCAACUGGCCCCAUUUUAACAAUUUCCAAAAUAUUUCAGGGUGUUUCUGAGCCUUGGCUCUUCUUCAUAAAUGAGUUUUACAGAAAUAUACUUAUGUAGCAUGUAAUGCUUAAUAAUCUUUAGUUCAUAGAACUUUUUUGUAACCUGUCACAGUUCUGGUACUGAGAUAAUAGGCAAGCUAAAAAUUGUGGGCAAGGUCCAAAACAGUGAUGAAGGUUGAUAGUACUUAUUUGAACUCUUUUUGUUCACUUUCAGAAGGCUGUACAAUUUGUUCAUAACAACAGUCCAUCCAAGAAAAGUAAAAGAAGCAACAACAAACCCGUCA